Molecule: long non-coding RNA, 1808 nt
Organism: Medicago truncatula (barrel medic)
Lineage: Eukaryota; Viridiplantae; Streptophyta; Magnoliopsida; Fabales; Fabaceae
Exons: 3
Source: RefSeq, a predicted model, not a curated record
GUAAGGAUUCGUUGAUGUUUGUGAAGAUAAAGAUUCAAAUGAUUGAAGUUGCACUACAAGGUUCUAUAAAAGGUUUGCUAUAAAUACGGGCUAAGUGUUAAGUUGAACCAAGCUUUAAUAGUAUGUCAUGGCUUCAUUUGGUAGUAGAAAUGCACAAUUAGAGGUAAAGUUCUUCUCUUUUGUCUCUCUCACUCAUACAAUAAAAAGGAAAACUAUGACCAUGUGUAAUAGAUAACUUUCAAGUCUAGAAUGUCGGGAUCUAUCCAUUACCAAGAACAGUUAAUGGCAGGUCAAUCCCUGAAGUCAACUUGCAGAGGUAAAAUUUGUGCCUUUUAAAAAAUGUUAGGGUAUGACAAUGUAAAAAUUCCAUAAUGUCCAAAUGCAUAUAGUUUAAAUUUUAAUUGUGGAAUGAGACAUGCUUUCUUUCAAAUAGAAUUUAAAGAUUGCGAGGCCUUAUUGUAUUACAAAUUGAAUAAUAGUUUGAAUUUUGAUUGAGUAAAAAUUAAAGUUUAUUUUCCCUUGCCCAAUCAAAAUAUGGGGUUGAAAUUUGUUGGUCUUGAAUGAAGGACACAUUUUGAUUGAGUAAAAUUUGAGUUUAUUUUCUUUGAUUUGUGUGAAUUCUUCCUGAGCUUAUCAACUUUAAUUCAUAUGCAUUUCUUUAGACGUUUUUAUUUUAUUUUAUUUCUGACUUUAAUUUUUGCAUAACUUAACUGCUCUAUAAAGAACUACUAUCUAUCUUCACUGCCUCAUUAAGAGUUGCAUCAAAAUACCUUUAUGGUGUUGAAUAUUGUUCAGUCCAUCAAAAUACCUUUAAUUUUUCUCAUUCAUUUAUGGUGUUGCACCAAAAGAGCUGAUGUAUCGUGUCGACAAUUUAGUUGCGUCAUAAGGAGAAUUGUCAUAUAGAUAGGUGAUUCGGCUGAGUCACAGAGAGUGAUUAUAUUUGAGGUAUGUAAAUUACGUAGAUGUUCUGCUCCUAAAGAAAAUAAAGUUCUUCAAAAUUCAAUGUCAGAUUGAGAACUCUAUACAUUCAAUGUCACAUAGAUUUUUCGACUGUGCUUUAUUUUGUUGAUUUAUUUGAAGGUAUAGUUGCAAGGCUUAUUGCCAUUUGAUUUUUAAUUACACGUGUUAGUUUAUAUAUGCUAAGGUUAUCACUAUGUAUAGAGCACAUGCAUACACGAAUCUAUAUAGAUGAGUUUCUACACAUUGUGAAUUAACAACUCACAUUUUGCAUAUUUUCUAAUAAUAAUACAUAGAGCAUCUGCAAUAUUUAGCAAUUAUAAUUUACUCCACACAUUGGAAAAUCAUAAUUCAGUUUUUGAUUAUGAUUACAUAGAGCAUCUGCAACAUUUUUUAUUGUAAUUCAAUUUAUAACUAAAUCAUAAUUGUACAUCUUACUUAAUUAAAGAAAAUCCGAGCUGCAUAUCAUACCUCAUUGGAACACAUGUUUUACUCCACACAGGUGAAGAAGCGCCCUGCAUAUCUCUUCCCUAAGUCUCCUUAGUCUCUUUUACACUUGAACACAAAAGUUUCAUUCACCCAAGUUUCUAAAUUCUCAUAUUCUCCACUUUUGGCCACCAUCAUCUGAAGAGUGACCACAUAGGUUUUAGAUUGCAUCAUGUGCCAUGUUGCAAUGGAUGGGAGGAUCAAGGCUUAAAGCUACGGCAAACAUGAUGAAAGUGACAUUGCUGCUAUAGAACUCAAAGUGGAGCUAAUCUCAAGUGCAACUUAAUGUGUUUUUUCUAUUGUGAAAUUGUAUAUACAGAUGUAAAUGACACUGGUGUAGUAAUAUAUUAUUAGAAUUAUAUAUA